UACGGAGGAUGCGAGCGUUAUCCGGAUUUAUUGGGUUUAAAGGGUGCGUAGGCGGACUGUCAAGUCAGCGGUAAAAAUGCGGUGCUCAACGCCGUCGAGCCGUUGAAACUGGCGUUCUUGAGUGGGCGAGAAGUAUGCGGAAUGCGUGGUGUAGCGGUGAAAUGCAUAGAUAUCACGCAGAACUCCGAUUGCGAAGGCAGCAUACCGGCGCCCUACUGACGCUGAGGCACGAAAGCGUGGGUAUCGAACAGG
Molecule: ribosomal RNA, 252 nt
Filed under: uncultured bacterium
Lineage: Bacteria
Description: partial 16S ribosomal RNA
Rfam family: Bacterial small subunit ribosomal RNA
Source: RNAcentral